RNAcentral lists this ribosomal RNA (428 nucleotides) under uncultured bacterium. RNAcentral's name for it is "bacterial SSU rRNA". It matches the Rfam family "Bacterial small subunit ribosomal RNA", at positions 354 to 796 of the family's 1533-position model. The record is from RNAcentral.
GUUGGGAAUAUUGGACAAUGGGGGAAACCCUGAUCCAGCAAUUCCGCGUGAAUGAUGAAGGCCUCAGGGUCGUAAAGUUCUUUUAGUGGGGACAAACACAAUGAUGGUACCCACAGAAAAAGCACCGGCUAACUCCGUGCCAGCAGCCGCGGUAAUACGGAGGGUGCAAGCGUUGCUCGGAAUCAUUGGGCGUAAAGCGCGUGUAGGCGGCCAACUAAGUCUGAUGUGAAAUCCCAGGGCUCAACCCUGGAACUGCAUCGGAUACUGGAUGGCUAGAGGAUGAGAGAGGAUGGUGGAAUUCCUGGUGUAGGGGUGAAAUCCGUAGAUAUCAGGAGGAACAUCAGUGGCGAAGGCGGCCAUCUGGCUCAUUUCUGACGCUGAGACGCAAAAGCGUGGGGAGCAAACAGGAUUAGAUACCCCGGUAGUCC